This 97-nucleotide signal recognition particle RNA is filed under the name Mycobacteriales bacterium. Its description in RNAcentral is "signal recognition particle sRNA small type". It matches the Rfam family "Bacterial small signal recognition particle RNA". Rfam says of the family: The signal recognition particle (SRP) is a universally conserved ribonucleoprotein involved in the co-translational targeting of proteins to membranes. Archaeal SRP consists of a 7S RNA and homologues of the eukaryotic SRP19 and SRP54 proteins. The record is from RNAcentral. Lineage: Bacteria; Bacillati; Actinomycetota; Actinomycetes; Mycobacteriales. RNAcentral also lists the same sequence under 1 other name.
UGGUGGGCACCGUGCGGCGUCCAUCCUGUGAACUCCCCCAGGGCCGGAAGGCAGCAAGGGUCAGCGGGCUCUGACGGGUGCGCGGUGCCCGCUUUUU